AAUGCAUUAUGGUAUCUGGUUUAUUUAUUCUAUGAUUUUGAAUGCAUGAAUCACUGUUUACUUCACUACUGCUUGGUUUUAUGAAUCUAAGAUAUGCUUGCCUUAUUGGAUGCACGUUGCUUGUUUAAGUAUUCAUGUUUGAGUUGGUAACGGAGACUAAGGACAAAUAGGAAUGGGAUGCGAAUUGAUAAUUGGAUAAGAUGACAGCCUUACUAGAUAUCCUGAGAGAUGAUGGACGGACCGGGUUCAUAGGGAUCCCUACCGGGAACGUUGUCUCAUACCGGACGGGGUAUGGAGACUUUAAAUGUUUUGGUGUUCAUACCGAACGGGGUAUGGGGACAGCCCGCUUCACCCUCAUACCAGACGAGGUAUUGAGGUUUAUUGUUCGGCGCCCAUACCGAACAGAGUAUGGGGACGACCCUGGAAAUUAAGUUUGUUAAGGGAAGGGUUCACGUGCAGCGGGGACCCCUAUGGAUUCUCAUAGAUACUAGUAGGCUGAUAAAAAGGGGACAACUGUUGUUUGAUGAUUGAAAUAUAAGAGUAUGACGUGUGCUAUGUUACAGAUUUUGUAUGAAUUCAUGAUAUCUAU
RNAcentral lists this long non-coding RNA (589 nucleotides) under Carica papaya (papaya). RNAcentral describes it as "long non-coding RNA (CPAP_LNC003766)". The record is from RNAcentral. Lineage: Eukaryota; Viridiplantae; Streptophyta; Magnoliopsida; Brassicales; Caricaceae.